UCUAUCAAAGGAGAAUAG
This 18-nucleotide transfer RNA is filed under the name Crotalus scutulatus (Mojave rattlesnake). RNAcentral describes it as "partial tRNA-Leu". Lineage: Eukaryota; Metazoa; Chordata; Lepidosauria; Squamata; Viperidae. The record is from RNAcentral.